GGAAUUAAACCAAGGGAGAGUAGACUAAGGAAAAGAAUAUCAGAGGUUGACCAGACAUUUUUUUUAACCCUCACCUUCUAUUUUGGGAUCGAUACUGAAUAUCAGUUCCAAGGCAGAAGAGCAAUAAGGGCUGGGCAGUGGGGUUAAGUGACUUGCCCAGGAUCAUAUAGCUAGGAAGUAUCUGAGGCCACAUUUGAACCCAGGACCUCCUAUCUCCAGACCUGGCUCUCUAUCUACUGAGCCACCCAGCUACUCCUAAAGGAACUUUUUAAAAGGUUCAUCUACUUCUAGUUUCACAAUUAUGACCAACUGAAAAAUCAUCUCCUCCCAGCAGCUAGGAGACCAGAAGAGAUUGAUUCACAUCAGAUGAUGGAGCAUAGACUUGCUGCUGCAAGGGACCUUAAGGUCAUCUAGUCCAACUCCCCUCAUUCUACUGGUAAGAAAAGAGGAACCGGAAAGGGGAAGGAAAUUGUCCAAAUCCACACAGGGAUUUUUUCUGGAUUCCUCAAGGCUGACCUUUAUGGAGUACCCGUUAUAUCUAACAUGAACAUAUGUGAUGAAAAUCCACAGAAAACUUUAAAAGGUGAGCUGUCAAAGCCAAAGUGCAUGACAUGGUCCUAGGCAAACUGUUCAUCAGCAAAAAACAGAUCCAGUCCUACUAUAAGUGUGCUGUGUAAUAGGACACUUACGCCUUGAUAUCUUGGUUUGCAUGUGUUGUGUGUCCAUUGUAGAAGGUGGAGGAAUAGCAAAAAGAGCAAGAAGUCAAGAAGACUUGGGUUUGCAUCCUGAUUCUCACACCUUCUGAUUGAGUGACUCUUGGCAAGAAAUUUAACAGCUCUAAGCCUCAAUUUUUUCAUCUGUAACACGAGGAUGCUAAUAGUGUUAGUACUUAGUUCACCUGGUCAUUGUCAGGAUUAAAUGACACACAUUAACAUUGACAUAGCCACUUAACCUCUCUAGACUCAGUUUCCUCAUCUGUAAAAACCCACAGAUUAUUGUGAGGCUCAAAAUAGACAAUAUAUGUCCAAAGCUUUGAACACCUAAAGACAUUG
This 1052-nucleotide long non-coding RNA is filed under the name Monodelphis domestica (gray short-tailed opossum). Its description in RNAcentral is "lncRNA (ENSMODG00000050086.1)". The record is from RNAcentral. Lineage: Eukaryota; Metazoa; Chordata; Mammalia; Didelphimorphia; Didelphidae.